AGAGAGAGAGAGAGAGAGAGAAGACACUAGGAUCUUCCAUGGUUUGGCAUUGUGCCUACAUUCACUGAGAACCACCUGCUUUUUAUCUAUAAAGGAGAAAAAGGUUAGAAUUGCUUAUGUAGAGUAAGGUUUUCCCUUUAUGCUAGAAAUAGGAUAAAUAAAAAAUUAUAAGCACUUCUCCCUCUCUCCUUUCUGUUGGGACCUUAAUGUACAAUAUCUCCUCCUGAAUAUGAGCCAUAAUUUCAAUUGUUGCAUUCUGUGAUACUAGGAUCUUAUUUUAUUGGAACUGUAACUGAUGAAUGGCUGCCUUUUAUUCUCUCUCUCUCUCUCAUGAGUAGAAAAAAGCACUGAAGGUUUGCUAAGGAGGUGAAACCAAGUACAAAGAGGAAUUUAUUUUCAUCCAUGGGAAUCAAUAAAAUCUAUGCUUUCUUUUCUUUUUGUUUUUAGUGCAAUAAUUUACCUGUAUGUUUGUGAUAAUAUGCAGUUUUAUUUUGGUACUUUCCCAGUUUUAGAGUUGCUAAUAUGGUUCCCUAAAUCACUGAUCUCUUUUGUGUAUAGUUCCUUGGGCUCCUGGCGGUAG
This 580-nucleotide unclassified non-coding RNA is filed under the name Hevea brasiliensis (rubber tree). The record is from RNAcentral. Lineage: Eukaryota; Viridiplantae; Streptophyta; Magnoliopsida; Malpighiales; Euphorbiaceae.